UCCCUGGUGGUCCAGUGGUUAAGGCUUUGCCUUCCAAAUGCAGGGGGUACAGGUUCGAUCCCUGGUCAGGGAG
Non-coding RNA from Bos taurus (domestic cattle), 73 nucleotides. Lineage: Eukaryota; Metazoa; Chordata; Mammalia; Artiodactyla; Bovidae. The record is from Rfam.